Molecule: ribosomal RNA, 197 nt
Filed under: uncultured bacterium
Lineage: Bacteria
Description: partial 16S ribosomal RNA
Rfam family: Bacterial small subunit ribosomal RNA
Source: RNAcentral
ACGCUCGACACCUACGGGAGCAGCAGUGGGGAAUAUUGCACAAUGGGGGAAACCCUGAUGCAGCGACGCCGCGUGGAGGAAGAAGGUCUUCGGAUUGUAAACUCCUGUUGUUGGGGAAAAAGAGGAUGGUACCCAACAAGGAAGUGACGGCUAACAACGUGCCAGUAGCCGCGGUAAUCUGAGCGGGCUGGCAAGGC